UACGAAGGGUGCAAGCGUUACUCGGAAUCACUGGGCGUAAAGCGUGCGUAGGCGGUUCGUUAAGUCUGUUGUGAAAGCCCUGGGCUCAACCUGGGAAUUGCGAUGGAGACUGCAAGGCUUGAAUCUGGCAGAGGGGGGUAGAAUUCCACGUGUAGCAGUGAAAUGCGUAGAUAUGUGGAGGAAUACCGAUGGCGAAGGCAGCCUCCUGGGAUAACACUGACGCUCAUGCACGAAAGCGUGGGGAGCAAACAGG
RNAcentral lists this ribosomal RNA (253 nucleotides) under uncultured bacterium. RNAcentral's name for it is "partial 16S ribosomal RNA". It matches the Rfam family "Bacterial small subunit ribosomal RNA", at positions 524 to 776 of the family's 1533-position model. The record is from RNAcentral.